This 435-nucleotide ribosomal RNA is filed under the name uncultured bacterium. RNAcentral's name for it is "partial 16S ribosomal RNA". It matches the Rfam family "Bacterial small subunit ribosomal RNA", at positions 38 to 507 of the family's 1533-position model. The record is from RNAcentral.
GGGGGGGGGGGGGGGGGGGGUGGGGGGGGGGGGGGCGGGGGGGCAUCUUCGGAGGUCGGCGGCAGAGGGGUGGGUGACCCGGGGGGGCGUACCCUUCGGUUCGGAACAGCUCUGGGACACUGGGGCUAAUCCCGGAUACGCCCUUAGGGGGAAAGGUUUACUGCCGCAGGAUCGGCCCGCGUCUGAUUAGCUGGUUGGUGGGGUAACGGCCUACCAAGGCGACGAUCAGUAGCUGGUCUGAGAGGAUGAUCAGCCACACUGGGACUGAGACACGGCCCAGACUCCUACGGGAGGCAGCAGUGGGGAAUAUUGGACAAUGGGCGCAAGCCUGAUCCAGCCAUGCCGCGUGAGUGAUGAAGGCCUUAGGGUUGUAAAGCUCCUUUGUCCGGGACGAUAAUGACGGUACCGGAAGAAUAAGCCCCGGCUAACUUCGUG